Molecule: long non-coding RNA, 1645 nt
Organism: Oncorhynchus nerka (sockeye salmon)
Lineage: Eukaryota; Metazoa; Chordata; Actinopteri; Salmoniformes; Salmonidae
Exons: 3
Source: RefSeq, a predicted model, not a curated record
AACAUGACUGGUCUACUAACCACCGGUCCUGGCAACCCAUCAUUACACCUACCUGGCAACCAUCAUUACGAACACCUGGCAACCAUCAUUACACCAACCUGGCAACCAUCAUUACGAACACCUGGCAACCAUCAUUACGCACACCUGCGCCUCAGCAUGAGGCACACAUGGACUUCAUCACUCCGAGAUUACUUCCCCUUUAUCUAGCGCUCCAUUGUAUCACCCAUUAUGUAGUUUUGUUUCCUGUAUUCAUGUUUAGACACUACUCCUGUUUUUGUAUUCAAGCCAAGUUCAUUCCCAUUAAACUCACCGACUGCACCUGCUUCCUGACUCCCUGUGUCUCCGUUACAGAACACUACCUCACAGAAUGAAGGCAGCAGCCAACUGAGAAAUCUCUCAGAUGGUCGGCAAACAGGGGUACCUACUUUGCCAACAACACAACGAGCUGGCGCAACUGGGGAUGACUAUGGAUGAGGUCCUCUGCAUUCUUCAACAUCUUGAUCUUCCUCAAGGGGAAUCACCCCCAACGAACGGUAGUUCUUCUACCACGAGUCUACCCAGUGAGCCAGCACCCCAGCCCAUUUCAAUGUCUGCCCAGGUCAGCGAUGUCCCUUUCUCCCUUCCGAACAAAUGUGACGGGACUCCAUCCAAAUGCCGUGGAUUCCUCCUCCAGUGCUCCCUCUAUUUUGCUCAUCAAACAGGAGCCCCCACCACUGAGAGGUCCAAGGUUACUCCGGUUAUUCUCCGGGCGUUGGAGUGGGCUACGGCUGUCUGGGAGAGAAGAGAGGAGGAACUGGGUUCCUAUGGGAGGUUCAUGGCUCUGGGGGAGGGGGGGGGGUCUACUCUAACUACGGCAGGAGGACCAGACCACUGCAGAGUACACCCUCACCUUCUGUACAGUGGCAGCAUCCACCUUAUUGUGGUCAAGAGGGGCACGAGCUUCAAUGGUUCCCUCUACGUCCCAACCCAGGAGCCACUAGAGCAGAGGGACGGCCCUGUAAUCAUCCGUGUUCAUCCGAGGUAGUCCCCAUAUGUUGGUGUGGAAUCCUGCAGCCGAUGAGGCCUUCCGUCUACUGAAGGGGCUUUUCACCUCUGCCAUGUUGCUGAAACACCCAGAUCCUACACUGCCCUUCAUGGUGUAGGUGGACGCCUCAGAAGUGGCUGUGGGGGCCAUCCUGUCACAACCUCAAGCUCUGUUCCCCAGCUCUGUUCCCCACUUCAGAGCGGUAGGGGUUUCCUUGCCCCGGUUGGCUCAGCAGGCUCCCAUCCCAUGGUAGGCCUCUGCCGGAUCGUCAGGGUUUUACGCCUCAGCCAGAUCAUCAGGCUCCCACGUCUCAGCGAGAUCAUCAGGCUUUCAUGCCUCAACUGGAUCGUCAGGCUUCAACGCUUCAGCUGAUUUGCCAGGCUUCCAAGCCUCUGCCGGUUCGUCGGGCAUCUACGCCCCAGCCGGCUUGUCCAGCACCGAUGCUUCGGGCCGGCCCAUCAGGCUCGCCCUGCUGGGACGCUGGGUGAUGCCCCUAGAGGAGGGUGUUACUGUCACGCCUGCUCCCGCUCUCCCUACCUGGUGCUCGAGGGUGCCAGGGUGCCCAGCACUGCUGAUAUAGUUAUAUGCCUGUCAUAUGGAUGUAUCUAGCUGUAAAUUAAA